AUUGAACGCUGGCGGCAGGCUUAACACAUGCAAGUCGAGCGGUAGCACAGGGGAGCUUGCUUCCUGGGUGACGAGCGGCGGACGGGUGAGUAAUGUCUGGGAAACUGUCUGAUGGAGGGGGAUAACUACUGGAAACGGUAGCUAAUAUCGCAUAAAGUCGCAAGACCAAAGAGGGGGACAUUCGGGCCUCUUGCCAUCAGAUGUGACCAGAUGGGAUUAGCUAGUAGGUGGGGUAAUGGCUCACCUAGGCGACGAUCCCUAGCUGGUCUGAGAGGAUGACCAGCCACACUGGAACUGAGACACGGUCCAGACUCCUACGGGAGGCAGCAGUGGGGAAUAUUGGACAAUGGGCGCAAGCCUGAUGCAGCCAUGCCGCGUGUGUGAAGAAGGCCUUCGGGUUGUAAAGCACUUUCAGCGGGGAGGAAGGUGGUGAGCUUAAUACGUUCAUCAAUUGACGUUACUCGCAGAAGAAGCACCGGCUAACUCCGUG
RNAcentral lists this ribosomal RNA (490 nucleotides) under uncultured bacterium. Its description in RNAcentral is "partial 16S ribosomal RNA". It matches the Rfam family "Bacterial small subunit ribosomal RNA", at positions 30 to 507 of the family's 1533-position model. The record is from RNAcentral.